Molecule: long non-coding RNA, 1918 nt
Filed under: Homo sapiens (human)
Lineage: Eukaryota; Metazoa; Chordata; Mammalia; Primates; Hominidae
Description: HSALNT0343135
Source: RNAcentral
GCCUAUUGCACUUAAACUCUCUUUUAUUAUCAUACAUCAUAUAAAUUCAUUUUCCUCCCCAAAUGAUAAACUUACGGACUGUCCCUCAUAAUACUUAUGAGUUCUUAACUAUUAGCAUUGCUUAUUAAACUCCAAUAUAUUUUUCCUGUGAGCAACUACUUUAUUAGUAUCUGCUUGAUUUUACAAGUAAAUUUGAUGUUGAUGCAAUGAAGAAGAGCUAGAGCUGGAGCUCAUUUCCUGAAGCACUUGCAUUCUGCACUUUACCUCUGCACAGUCUUUUCCUUACCCCAUAUGGAGAAAGCUGGCUGUGCAACUCCUCUCCUGUCUUCACUUAAAACAGUCAGGGAUUGCCAGGAGAAAGCCUGCUGGCUGCAAACAGUGAGGUGAGAUUUCAACUUUCCAGCAGUUAGAUGUACUUGUUUAAUAACCUUGCACACCAUGGCACUGUUUUUCAAUGUGCUUCCAUUAGGAGUAAAAUACAGGCUUUUAUUAUUUUUUUUUUAAUCUGCUUUUGUUAUUUAUAAAACCUUGGAGACUUAUCACUUCUCUAACUAGCAUAAGGUAGUCAUUUUCCUAAGUGAGGCACAAUCAAGGUCAGCCUCUCUUUUGUAAAACUAAGGCUAUGAUAGUUUGGGAAAUAAGAAUCAAGCUGUAACUAAAAGGUUGGUUGGUUGUUUUCCCCUUUAUUCAUUUUCCUGACCUAUUUAUUUAUUUAUUUUCAGGCCUAAUUCACUUUACUUUUCUUGUAUAAAACCCCCAUGUUGUAGCCACAGCUGGAGCCUGGGUCCUCUGCACGUAGACUCUGGUGUGGGUCUUGACGAGGUGGUCAGUGAAUUCCUGAUAGGGAGACUUGGUGAAUACAGUCUCCUUCCAGAGGUCGGGCGUCAGGUAGCUGUAGGUCUUAGAGAUGGCAUCAAAGGUGGUGGCUUUGGCAAGGUUGCCCAGGGUGGCAGUGCAGCCCCUGGCUGAGGUGUAGCAGUCAUCGAUACCAGCCAUCAUGACCAGCUUCUUGAGCACAGGCGCAGAGACGAUGCCAGUGCCCCUGGACACGGGGAUGAGGCGCACUAGCACGGAGCCGUCUGUCACCUUGCAAGGGACACUGUGGGGCUUGCCGAUCUUGUUCCCCCAGUAGCCUCUGCGCACGGGGACAAUGGAGAGUUUGGCCAGAAUGAUGGCCCCGAGAAUGGCAGUGACCACCUCCUUGGAGCACUUAACACCCAGAUCGACGUGGCUACUGUAGUCCCCGAUGGCAACAAACGCCUUGAACCUGGUGCGCUGGCCGGCGCGGGUCAGCUUCUGCACCGGCAUAAUCUUCAAAACCUCGUGCUUGAGAGAGGCCCCAGGAAAAAGUCAAUGAUCUCAGAUUCCUUGAUGGGCAGGGAGAAGAGAUAGAUCUCCUUCAGGGAUUUGAUCUUCAUGUCCUUGACCAGGCGGCCCAUCUUGGUGACGGGCAUCCACUCCUUAUCUUCGGCCUUGCCUCCGCUAGCUCCGCGGCCUCGGCCGGGUCCACGGCCGCGACCCUGGGCCCCGGAUGCUACUGACGAAACCUCCCCGGAAGUCACCGCUGUUCCCCAUCCCAGGGCCUCCGGAAUCCCGGACCCCGCCCCUGCACCGGCGUCAUCCGCCAUUUGGUGUUUUCUCGGAGUAGAACUUCCCGGCCUAUUUAUACAAGUGUGAUCAAUAGAUCUACAAGUGAUGAAACUUCAAUCAGAUAGGAGAGCUGCCAUGGAAGAAAACUCUUGGCAGGACAACACUGUAAAUGCAGAAAUGGAGCUCAAAGGAUUUUACUGAAACCCUGAAACAAUCAGAGCUUUUGUGGACAGCUUUUGCAAUGUUUUCUUGUGUUCUCACUAUCUAAAUGCUUCCAAAGACUGUCAACAUUUCAUUGUUAUUUUCUUUGUUGCAAAAGUAAUUUAUG